RNAcentral lists this ribosomal RNA (512 nucleotides) under uncultured Glomus. Its description in RNAcentral is "SSU rRNA". It matches the Rfam family "Eukaryotic small subunit ribosomal RNA", at positions 569 to 1081 of the family's 1831-position model. The record is from RNAcentral. Lineage: Eukaryota; Fungi; Glomeromycota; Glomeromycetes; Glomerales; Glomeraceae.
AGCAGCCGCGGUAAUUCCAGCUCCAAUAGCGUAUAUUAAAGUUGUUGCAGUUAAAAAGCUCGUAGUUGAAUUUCGGGGUCAAUAAGUUGGUCAUGCCAAUGGUAUGCACUGGCUUUAUUGAUUCCUACCUCUUGACGAACUGUGAUGCCAUUAAUUUGGUGUUGCAAGGAAUCAGGACUGUUACCUUGAAAAAUUAGAGUGUUUUAAAGCAAGCUUACGCUUGAAUACAUUAGCAUGGAAUAAUGAAAUAGGACGUUUGAUCCUAUUUUUGUUGGUUUCUAGGAUCGACGUAAUGAUUAAUAGGGAUAGUUGGGGGCAUUAGUAUUCAAUUGUCAGAGGUGAAAUUCUUGGAUUUAUUGAAGACUAACUACUGCGAAAGCAAUUUGCCAAGGAUGUUUUCAUUAAUCAAGAACGAAAGUUAGGGGAUCGAAGACGAUCAGAUACCGUCGUAGUCUUAACCAUAAACUAUGCCGACUAGGGAUCGGAUGAUGUUAAUUUUUAAUGACUCAUUC